Molecule: long non-coding RNA, 445 nt
Filed under: Marmota monax (woodchuck)
Lineage: Eukaryota; Metazoa; Chordata; Mammalia; Rodentia; Sciuridae
Source: RNAcentral
GGUGAAUCCAUCGCUGGUUGAAUCAGAUGUGGAUAUGCAGGAUGGAUUGUAUUUUGAUUGUGGUGGUGGCUAUAAGACGUUGUCCUUACCAAAGCUCACAGAAUUACAUAUUACUAAAAAGGAUCAAUUUACUGUAUAUAAAUUGUAACUUAGGUUUUUAACUGGAGAAAGAAGAACAAACAAAAAGUCCAUGGGAUGAUGGUGAGUUGUUUCCUUGGUGGAUGUGACCUUGAAUAAUAUGUGAAAAUGCUCCAUGUUGGCUCAGCUUCUGUUGGAUUCCAACUUAGUACUCACUCAGUAAUGCCCUGGACAGGAACUUUGCACAGUGCUGACUCAUGUGUACAUGAGAAUUUCAUCCCUCCAUCCUUGGGCUUAACUGGAGACAUGUGGAUAAACAGAAGGGUGUGUGAUAUUUAGCCUAGACAAUUCUAACAUCCAAAACAAG